RNAcentral lists this ribosomal RNA (253 nucleotides) under uncultured bacterium. RNAcentral describes it as "partial 16S ribosomal RNA". It matches the Rfam family "Bacterial small subunit ribosomal RNA", at positions 524 to 776 of the family's 1533-position model. The record is from RNAcentral.
UACGGAGGGUGCAAGCGUUAUCCGGAUUCACUGGGUUUAAAGGGUGCGUAGGCGGCCAACUAAGUCAGACGUGAAAUCCCUCGGCUUAACCGGGGAACUGCAUCUGAUACUGGAUGGCUUGAGUUCGGGAGAGGGAUGCGGAAUUCCAGGUGUAGCGGUGAAAUGCGUAGAUAUCUGGAGGAACACCGGUGGCGAAGGCGGCAUCCUGGACCAAUAUUGACGCUGAGGAGCGAAAGCCAGGGGAGCAAACGGG